RNAcentral lists this ribosomal RNA (486 nucleotides) under uncultured bacterium. RNAcentral's name for it is "partial 16S ribosomal RNA". It matches the Rfam family "Bacterial small subunit ribosomal RNA", at positions 28 to 507 of the family's 1533-position model. The record is from RNAcentral.
GACGAACGCUGGCGGCGUGCUUAACACAUGCAAGUCGAACGCUGAAGACCUGGCUUUUGUUGGGUUGGAUGAGUGGCGAACGGGUGAGUAACACGUGAGUAACCUGCCCUCUUCUUUGGGAUAACGCCCGGAAACGGGUGCUAAUACUGGAUAUUCACUGAUCUUCGCAUGGGGGUUGGUGGAAAGGUUUGUUCUGGUGGGGGAUGGGCUCGCGGCCUAUCAGCUUGUUGGUGGGGUGAUGGCCUACCAAGGCUUUGACGGGUAGCCGGCCUGAGAGGGUGACCGGUCACAUUGGGACUGAGAUACGGCCCAGACUCCUACGGGAGGCAGCAGUGGGGAAUAUUGCACAAUGGGCGAAAGCCUGAUGCAGCGACGCCGCGUGAGGGAUGGAGGCCUUCGGGUUGUAAACCUCUUUCGCUCAUGGUCAGGCCGCAACUGUGGGUUGUGGUGAGGGUAGUGGGUAAAGAAGCGCCGGCUAACUACGUG